UCAGGAUGAACGCUGGCGGCGUGCCUAAUACAUGCAAGUCGAACGAAUCUCUUUUAGAGAUGAGUGGCGAACGGGUGAGUAAUACAUAGGUAACCUGCCCCUGUGCGGGGGAUAACAGGAGGAAACUCCUGCUAAUACCGCAUAGCCAUGAGCACCGCAUGGAGCUCAUGCCAAAUAUCCUUUCGGGGAUAGCGCAGGGAUGGACCUAUGGCGCAUUAGCUUGUUGGCGGGGCAACGGCCCACCAAGGCAACGAUGCGUAGCCGGCCUGAGAGGGCGGACGGCCACAUUGGGACUGAGACACGGCCCAGACUCCUACGGGAGGCAGCAGUAGGGAAUUUUCGGCAAUGGGGGAAACCCUGACCGAGCAACGCCGCGUGAGCGAAGAAGGCCUUCGGGUCGUAAAGCUCUGUUGUAAAGGAAGAACGGCGCAUACAGGAAAUGGUAUGCGAGUGACGGUACUUUACCAGAAAGCCACGGCUAACUACGUGCCAGCAGCCGCGGUAAUACGUAGGUGGCGAGCGUUAUCCGGAAUCAUUGGGCGUAAAGAGGGAGCAGGCGGCCGCAAGGGUCUGUGGUGAAAGACCGAAGCUAAACUUCGGUAAGCCAUGGAAACCGGGCGGCUAGAGUGCGGAAGAGGAUCGUGGAAUUCCAUGUGUAGCGGUGAAAUGCGUAGAUAUAUGGAGGAACACCAGUGGCGAAGGCGACGGUCUGGGCCGCAACUGACGCUCAUUCCCGAAAGCGUGGGGAGCAAAUAGGAUUAGAUACCCUAGUAGUCCACGCCGUAAACGAUGGUCACUAAGUGUCGGGGGUCAAACCCCGGUGCUGCAGUCAACGCAAUAAGUGACCCGCCUGAGUAGUACGUUCGCAAGAAUGAAACUCAAAGGAAUUGACGGAAGG
RNAcentral lists this ribosomal RNA (898 nucleotides) under uncultured bacterium. RNAcentral's name for it is "bacterial SSU rRNA". It matches the Rfam family "Bacterial small subunit ribosomal RNA", at positions 24 to 920 of the family's 1533-position model. The record is from RNAcentral.